RNAcentral lists this non-coding RNA (29 nucleotides) under Bombyx mori (domestic silkworm). Lineage: Eukaryota; Metazoa; Arthropoda; Insecta; Lepidoptera; Bombycidae. The record is from RNAcentral.
UGAAUCUGUUGAUACCAGGCCAGUGAAGU